RNAcentral lists this ribosomal RNA (550 nucleotides) under uncultured bacterium. Its description in RNAcentral is "bacterial SSU rRNA". It matches the Rfam family "Bacterial small subunit ribosomal RNA", at positions 355 to 896 of the family's 1533-position model. The record is from RNAcentral.
UAGGGAAUCUUCGGCAAUGGGGGCAACCCUGACCGAGCAACGCCGCGUGAGUGAAGAAGGUUUUCGGAUCGUAAAGCUCUGUUGUAAGAGAAGAACGAGUGUGAGAGUGGAAAGUUCACACUGUGACGGUAACUUACCAGAAAGGGACGGCUAACUACGUGCCAGCAGCCGCGGUAAUACGUAGGUGGCAAGCGUUGUCCGGAAUUAUUGGGCGUAAAGCACGCGCAGGCGGAUCUGCCAGUCUGUCUUAAAAGUUCGGGGCUCAACCCCGUGAUGGGAUGGAAACUACAGAUCUAGAGUAUCGGAGGGGAAAGUGGAAUUCCUAGUGUAGCGGUGAAAUGCGUAGAUAUUAGGAGGAACACCAGUGGCGAAGGCGACUUUCUGGACGAUCACUGACGCUGAGGCGCGAAAGCCAGGGGAGCGAACGGGAUUAGAUACCCCGGUAGUCCUGGCCGUAAACGAUGGGUACUAGGUGUAGGAGGUAUCGACCCCUUCUGUGCCGUAGUUAACGCAGUAAGUACCCCGCCUGGGGAGUACGGCCGCAAGGUUG